Molecule: long non-coding RNA, 1503 nt
Organism: Papaver somniferum (opium poppy)
Lineage: Eukaryota; Viridiplantae; Streptophyta; Magnoliopsida; Ranunculales; Papaveraceae
Exons: 5
Source: RefSeq, a predicted model, not a curated record
AGGAAACCAUGGCACAUUCGAAAAGCAAAUCAAGAACACAGGUUCAAAAGAGAAAGAUAAUAAAGAAACAAGAGAAAACAGAGAGGAGAAAAAAAUUGCUGAGCUGGAUCUCGAUUCUGAAUGGUCGAGAAAGAUCGAUGAAGCUCUCAAAGGUUGGACAAAUUUUCCAGAUAUGCAAGAAACUGUGACACCCUAUCUAUGCGAAUCAAGAAGCAGUAUAUACUGAUUAUUGCCUCCUCAAGGAUCUUUAUGCUAAAUUGAAGGGUGAACAAGUGUCGGUCACUGUUAAGAUUUUCAUUUCCCAGAUUGUGAUUAGCUAUGCAUACAAAAAAAAAAGAAGCUAAGAUGAUUCAUAGUUUUGUCAAGAUGAUGGAAGCUCAUAGUGAAAUUCUUUCGGAUGACCAGAAAGAGUGGAUUGAUACCCAGCUUGAUUCAGAGAGUUGUUGUCUAAACUCUAAAGAUAGUUCGUGCAAGCUCAAAAAAAACAUAAAAAAUAGAAUGGGGUUGCUGGAACACCGGUAUAACUGCCCUAAGAAUUCUAUAGACAAAGAACUACAAGUAAAGUUGCAGCCGUUGAAGGAUAUUUCACACCGUCCUGAGGAUUUCUCUCCUGAUAACUUUGAUAAAAAAAAAAGGAGGAGGAUUCAGAGUUUGUUAUAGAGUUUAAGGCUGAGAAGGGUCGCAUCCAUCGGGAAAUUGUCGAUUCUUAUGCUCCUUGGGUUGAUGCAUUGGAUUUUGUAGUUUUCUUAACCAAGUAUGGUCUUGCAAGCAUAUCUGUAUGUGUCCCAGGCAGGUAAACUAAUUUUGGCACAUAUAGUAGUUACAUUAUCUUUGCUGAGCUUGUGUCUGGUAAAUAGUAUUUUGCGUGGUUAUGCCCAUCUCUCUAUGUCUCGUCAGGGAGAUCUUGAAAUGAAGUGGAGGAUGGAGGAGAGAAACAAGAUGAAGAAACUAAGCUAAAUAAAACUAAGCUCAGAUAGUCAUGUGAUAUAUGCUGCAAUAAAACUAAGCUCAGAUGUUUUACAUCUCAGCUUUCUUAAAGCUAGCUUUUCAGAUUUAUGCUUUUGUUUUUGAACGACUGUUUUAUUUAUAUCUGCACAUAGCAACAAUCAAGCAACAAUUAGCGGCUACACUUUGAGCACUAACACAACUGUGGAAGAUGAAAGAUGAAAAGGAGUUUGAUACUUGUGGACAUGUGUUGCAGUAUUAGUCCAUCCAAAAAAAAUACUUGCCAGAAAUGUACAUCAAGAAGAUGGAUGAGCUUUGUGCUACAGAUAAUCCUGGAAUGCCAAGUGGCCACAGUAAUCUGGCUUAGAAAUAUCAAACGUAGCUGACACAACUCUUAAGUAUUAGAAUCUUCACAUAAUCUUCACAACUUGAGAAAGUCUUCUUUAAGGAGAUGUUUCCAACCAUAAAUGGUGAAUUCUCUGUGAAAUCCUUUUAUGCACCUUCCCUGUAAAGUCGCUCCAUUCCAAAACUCAAACAAAUCCAGAACUGUUCCAUGAG